GCUGUUGAUACUGUGCUGCUUGAAAAGCAUCUUCUCAUAGAACCCAUUGGAAGCUGCCAGAAGGUGGCGGUAACCUUGACAGCUCUGUCAUUGCUAUGUGACUUAAAGCAUCCUCCUAUAAACCUUCCUAGAAGUAGUUUGCCCACAGAUAGAAGUAUUGCACACUGCACCCUCUUCACUGCGCAUGGCCCACCUUCAAGCCUCGGUUACCUAAUGGGGAUGGACCCCAUGUUUUAUUGCUCACGACCCUGUCACUAUCCUUAAAGAUGAUUUCACUCACUGCCCUGCCCCCUAACUUAUACACAAUAAAUACUCAUGCUUCUGGACAUUUGGGGCCUUGCCUGACUCCACUUACAGGUGGCAUGGCCCCCUGAGCCCAGCUGUGUUUUCUUUGUA
Molecule: long non-coding RNA, 396 nt
Organism: Cebus imitator (Panamanian white-faced capuchin)
Lineage: Eukaryota; Metazoa; Chordata; Mammalia; Primates; Cebidae
Exons: 2
Source: RefSeq, a predicted model, not a curated record